Molecule: long non-coding RNA, 654 nt
Organism: Crotalus tigris (Tiger rattlesnake)
Lineage: Eukaryota; Metazoa; Chordata; Lepidosauria; Squamata; Viperidae
Exons: 2
Source: RefSeq, a predicted model, not a curated record
GAGUUUGUGAGUCUUCCGGGAACGUUAGACUUCGGUAUUGGAGGGGCGGACUUGGAGGUCAAAAAAGCUGGUGGGGUUAUUUUUCCUGGAGGGGGAAAAUGAAGAAAGCAAAGCGGAGGAAAGCUGCUGUCUUCUGGAAAUAAAGACAAAAGCUCGGGUUUGGCCUCACCCUCCUUAGUAAAGAUGAGCCUCCGGGGCUUUGCAGUGGAUCUGCCAUUUUUCUAGGGGGGGGGCUGCAUGUCAGGUCCUCAAUGAAAUGUAUUGUUCCCCUUCUAAUAGUUUACCUGCUUUGGUAACCAUUUUUUGUAACCUGCCAUUCUGUUGGGAGGGGGGAUACAUUGGGAUGCUUUGCAUUGUCUUGCCACUGUGUCCUUCCCCCAGGAGAAAGAAGGCAUCACCCAUAUCUGGGAAAUGGUUUGCACUUGGAGCCAGAAGGAAAUGAAAUCGAGAGAGACCUUGAAGAGCAUGCCAAUGGAGCCAGUUACCAAAACAAUAUGCCACCUGUGGAUUGGCUGGAAUUCCAACAAGCACUGGGACCCUGGGGGGAAGAGUAAUAAUAUUGCUUUUAAUAUACUGCUUGCGCAAAUUUUCCCCCAGACUUCCCAUUGAAUCCCUGCUGUCACUAGCCCCUAAUAAAAGUUCCUUUUGAGACAA